CUCUCUAGGUGUUCCUGGAAGCAUGAGAUUGCUUAUUAAGGCAUCAGUUUGCAAAAUUUGGAAGUAAAGCUAAAAAGUGAAACAGAGUGAAGGAGCAAAAAGAUAGGGUUGGAUAAACCAGUUUUAAAAUUGCGGCUUAACUGUACAACCUUUGGCAAAUGAUUUAACCUUUCUGAAUCUCAGUUUCCAUAUAUGUAAAAAUACUUCACUUGUAGGAUAAUGCAAGCAUUAGAAAUAAC
This 239-nucleotide long non-coding RNA is filed under the name Homo sapiens (human). Its description in RNAcentral is "LHRI_LNC1074.1". Lineage: Eukaryota; Metazoa; Chordata; Mammalia; Primates; Hominidae. The record is from RNAcentral.